UGUAAAGGUAAACUUACUGGAGCUGGCUGGGGGAGAGUAGGAAAAUUUGUUCCAGAAGGAGCUGUCUGA
RNAcentral lists this small nucleolar RNA (69 nucleotides) under Carlito syrichta (Philippine tarsier). Its description in RNAcentral is "Small nucleolar RNA SNORD22 (ENSTSYG00000024727.2)". It matches the Rfam family "Small nucleolar RNA SNORD22", at positions 53 to 121 of the family's 126-position model. Rfam says of the family: U22 is a member of the C/D class of snoRNA which contain the C (UGAUGA) and D (CUGA) box motifs. U22 is encoded within the U22 snoRNA host gene (UHG) in mammals and has also been identified in Xenopus. The record is from RNAcentral. Lineage: Eukaryota; Metazoa; Chordata; Mammalia; Primates; Tarsiidae.